Molecule: long non-coding RNA, 363 nt
Filed under: Trifolium pratense (red clover)
Lineage: Eukaryota; Viridiplantae; Streptophyta; Magnoliopsida; Fabales; Fabaceae
Description: long non-coding RNA (TPRA_LNC008170)
Source: RNAcentral
UUAGCAAAAAAUGGUUGGUCGAAAUCUGUCAUGAUACAAACCGUGUUCUAAGUGACGCUUGUUCACUACUCAUGGUUAGUUGAACACAUUCUUUGCUUAAUCGAAUGAAUUCGUAUAAACUGUUUAUCGCUUGUAUAAUCGGUCUUAUAAACCAACCAAGGCAUGAAUAUAUAAACAAUAUUUUAUGUGAACCGAGGAUAGAAUCAUAACGAAGUUUUCCUAAAACCAAUUGAUUGAUCGUCUUUUUAUCAAUUGAAUUUCUAAUACUACUCUUUCGAUCUAAACAAACCCAAAACCCCAUAUUUAAUUAUGUUAUUCAUUGUUCUUAUUUUUACUAAUUAUUAAAUUAGAGGUCCUUGUGAN